CUGAUGCAGCACGCCGCGUGAGGGACGAAGGCCUUCGGGUUGUAAACCUCUUUUAGCAGGGAAGAAGCGAAAGUGACGGUACCUGCAGAAAAAGCACCGGCUAACUACGUGCCAGCAGCCGCGGUAAUACGUAGGGUGCAAGCGUUGUCCGGAAUUAUUGGGCGUAAAGAGCUCGUAGGCGGUUUGUCGCGUCUGCUGUGAAAACUGGAAGCUCAACUUCCAACCUGCAGUGGGUACGGGCAAACUAGAGUGCGGUAGGGGAGAACGGAAUUCCUGGUGUAGCGGUGGAAUGCGCAGAUAUCAGGAGGAACACCGAUGGCGAAGGCAGAUCUCUGGGCCGUUACUGACGCUGAGGAGCGAAAGCGUGGGGAGCGAACAGGAUUAGAUACCCUGGUAGUCCACGCCGUAAACGGUGGGUGCUAGCUGUGGGCCACAUUCCACGUGGUCCGUGACGAAGUUAACACAUUAAGCACCCCGCCUGGGGAGUACGGCCGCAAGGCUAAAACUCAAAUGAAUUGACGGA
Molecule: ribosomal RNA, 523 nt
Filed under: uncultured bacterium
Lineage: Bacteria
Description: bacterial SSU rRNA
Rfam family: Bacterial small subunit ribosomal RNA
Source: RNAcentral